AGGAAUACCAGUGGCGAAAGGCGGCCCCUGGCACAAUACUGACGCUCAGGUUGCGNAAAGCNGUNGGGGAGCAAACAGUGUAUUAGAUACCCUGGUAGUCCACGCCGUAAACGAUGUCUACUAGCUGUUCGUGGUCUUGUACUGUGAGUAGCGCAGCUAACGCACUAAGUAGACCGCCUGGGGAGUACGGUCGCAAGAUUAAAACUCAAAUGAAUUGACGGGGGCCCGCACAAGCGGUGGAGCAUGUGGUUUAAUUCGACGCAACGCGAAGAACCUUACCUACUCUUGACAUCUAGCGAAGAUUGCAGAGAUGCAGUUGUGCCUUCGGGAACGCUAAGACAGGUGCUGCAUGGCUGUCGUCAGCUCGUGUUGUGAAAUGUUGGGUUAAGUCCCGCAACGAGCGCAACCCUUAUCCUUAGUUGCCAGCACGUAAUGGUGGGAACUCUAGGGAGACUGCCGGUGAUAAACCGGAGGAAGGUGGGGACGACGUCAAGUCAUCAUGGCCCUUACGAGUAGGGCUACACACGUGCUACAAUGGUACGUACAGAGGGAGGCAAGCUGGCGACAGUGAGCGGAUCUCUUAAAGCGUAUCGUAGUCCGGAUCGCAGUCUGCAACUCGACUGCGUGAAGUCGGAAUCGCUAGUAAUCGCAAAUCAGAAUGUUGCGGUGAAUACGUUCCCGGGCCUUGUACACACCGCCCGUCACACCAUGGGAGUGGGUUGCAAAAGAAGUAGGUAGCUUAACCUUCGGGAGGGCGCUUACCACUUUGUGAUUCAUGACUGGGGUGAAGUCGUAACAAGGUAACCAAUCCCGCGGCCAUG
Molecule: ribosomal RNA, 821 nt
Filed under: uncultured bacterium
Lineage: Bacteria
Description: bacterial SSU rRNA
Rfam family: Bacterial small subunit ribosomal RNA
Source: RNAcentral